CAUACCCUGCUAUGCAGGUGAUGCUGUAAAAACGGUUUUGGGCCAACACGAGUAAAAAUGGGUUUUCCGGUAUUCCCGACAAUGCGAUAGGCGAAAGCCAAGGCUGCGUUUGGAAAACGGGAAACCGUCCUGCGAUAGCAGGUUCAAAACUCAGCAGCACACGGCAUGGCGGGGUCUUU
RNAcentral lists this non-coding RNA (179 nucleotides) under Flexilinea sp. RNAcentral describes it as "6S RNA". It matches the Rfam family "6S / SsrS RNA". Rfam says of the family: E. coli 6S RNA was the first non coding RNA to be sequenced, but its function was unknown until recently. It consists of 184 nucleotides that fold into an extended hairpin structure with a large single-stranded internal bulge. Lineage: Bacteria; Bacillati; Chloroflexota; Anaerolineae; Anaerolineales; Anaerolineaceae. The record is from RNAcentral.